RNAcentral lists this ribosomal RNA (324 nucleotides) under uncultured bacterium. Its description in RNAcentral is "bacterial SSU rRNA". It matches the Rfam family "Bacterial small subunit ribosomal RNA", at positions 28 to 334 of the family's 1533-position model. The record is from RNAcentral.
GAUGAACGCUGGCGGCGUGCCUAACACAUGCAAGUCGAACGGACAUUUUUUGGAAAGCUCUUCGGAACUGGAAUCUAAAUGUUAGUGGCGGACUGGUGAGUAACACGUAAGCAACCUGCCUAUCAGAGGGGAACAACAGUUAGAAAUGACUGCUAAUACCGCAUAUGCCUUAGAACCACAUGGUUCAAAAGGGAAAGGAGCAAUCCGCUGAUAGAUGGGCUUGCGUCUGAUUAGCUAGUUGGUGGGGUAAUGGCCUACCAAGGCAACGAUCAGUAGCCGAACUGAGAGGUUGAACGGCCACAUUGGGACUGAGAUACGGCCCAG